Molecule: ribosomal RNA, 546 nt
Filed under: uncultured eukaryote
Lineage: Eukaryota
Description: SSU rRNA
Rfam family: Eukaryotic small subunit ribosomal RNA
Source: RNAcentral
CGAAGUCUGGUGCCAGCAGCCGCGGUUAAUUCCAGCUCCAAAUAGCGUAUAUUAAAGUUGUUGCAGUUAAAAAGCUCGUAGUUGAAUUUUCUGAUUAUGGAUGUAGCGGUUUCCGUUACAUUUGUAGUCAUCCACAUGAGAACCUUUCUCGGCCUUCACUGGUCGGUUGGGGGAUCAUGUACUUUACUUUGAAAAAAUCAGAGUGUUUCAGGCAGGCGUUUGCAUGAAUACACAAGCAUGGAAUAAUGGAAUAGGACUAGGGUCCAUUUUAUUGGUUAUUGGACCAUAGUAAUGAUUAAUAGGGACAGUUGGGGGCAUUAGUAUUUAAUUGUCAGAGGUGAAAUUCUUGGAUUUAUUAAAGACUAACUUAUGCGAAAGCAUUUGCCAAGGAUGUUUUCAUUAAUCAAGAACGAAAGUUAGGGGAUCAAAGACGAUCAGAUACCGUCCUAGUCUUAACUAUAAACUAUACCGACUAGGGAUUGGUUGGGGUCAUUAGAGCCCAAUCAGCACCUUAUGAGAAAUCAAAGUCUUUGGGUUCUGGGGGGA